GGACUCUAUCUGCUAGAUGUCCGGGGCUGCACGCGCGCCACACUGAGCGGAUCAGCGUGUGCCUGCCCUUGCCGACAGGCGUGGGUAACCCGCUGAACCCCGCUCGUGAUGGGGAUUGGGGAUUGCAACUGUUUCCCAUGAACGAGGAAUUCCCAGUAAGCACGGGUCACAAGCUCGUGUUGAUUAAGUCCCUGCCCUUGUACACACCGCCCGUCGCUACUACCGAUUGGAUGGCUUAGUGAGGUCCUCGGAUCGCCCCGCCGGAGUCUUCACGGCUCUGGCGUGCGUGCCGAGAAGACGAUCAAACUUGACUAUCUAGAGGAAGUAAAAGUCGUAACAAGGUUUCC
RNAcentral lists this ribosomal RNA (347 nucleotides) under Gadus morhua (Atlantic cod). Its description in RNAcentral is "SSU rRNA". It matches the Rfam family "Eukaryotic small subunit ribosomal RNA", at positions 1459 to 1804 of the family's 1831-position model. The record is from RNAcentral. Lineage: Eukaryota; Metazoa; Chordata; Actinopteri; Gadiformes; Gadidae.